RNAcentral lists this ribosomal RNA (531 nucleotides) under Stenophyella sp. WCW-2003f. RNAcentral's name for it is "partial 16S ribosomal RNA". It matches the Rfam family "Bacterial large subunit ribosomal RNA", at positions 1819 to 2600 of the family's 2925-position model. The record is from RNAcentral. Lineage: Eukaryota; Metazoa; Arthropoda; Insecta; Hemiptera; Pachygronthidae.
GUCUUAUUGAUUAGUUAAUAUUAAGUCUGACCUGCUCUAUGAUUAUUUUAUAAUUAAAUGGCCGCAGUAUUUUGACUGUGCAAAGGUAGCAUAAUCAUUUGUCUUUUAAUUGAGGUCUGGAAUGAAUGGUUUGACGAAAGAUAAACUUUUUUUGCUUAAUUUUGUAUAAAUUUAAUUUUUAAGUAAAAAAGCUUAAAUAUUUUUGAGGGACGAGAAGACCCUAUAGAAUUUUACUUUUUUUAUUAUUAUAUUUUCUUUGAGUCUACUAUUAUUAGAAAUUAAUUUUAGAAAAAGUUUUGUUGGGGUGACAUUGAGAUUUUUAUAACUCUCAAUUAUUAAUUUUCACUGAUUAGUGUAUUAUUGAUCCUUUUUUAUGGAUUAUAAGAUUAAAUUACCUUAGGGAUAACAGCGUAAUUCUUUCGGAGAGUUCUUAUCGAUGAAUUUGGAGUUUGCGACCUCGAUGUUGGAUUAAAAUAAGUUACUGGUGUAGCAGCUAGAUAACUAGGUCUGUUCGACCUUUUAAUUUUUACA